AAGGAUCAUCCCUUUUCAUUUCUUAAGUGACCUGGAAGAAAAUGGGAAUUACCAAAGUUGGAAUGAAGACACCAGAUUCUAUUACUCUUCUAGUUGUGAUAAUGGUUUCUCUACUUGCAGGUUGCUCGGCAAGGAGUUACUAUGAGUUUUCUCCGCCACCCAACAACUCUCCUCCACAGCAUCGGCAGUAUUAUGAAUUCCCUCCACCUCCCAAUAAAGAACUUGUUGCUCCCCCUCCUCCUCAUCGGCAUUAUUAUGAAUACCCACCCCCACCUACUGCCUCUCCACCUCCUCAUCGGCAUUAUUAUGAAUACCCUCCACCACCUACUGCUUCUCCACCUCCUCAUCGGCAGUAUUAUGAAUUUUCUCCACCUCCUCCUCCUCAUCACCACCACCAUCAUCAUCACAAAUCAACAAAAUCGCCUCCUCCUCCUCACUACUAGUAACUUAUCAAAGCAGCCCAUGUGUGAGUGGUCGAUAACCUAUAUUAUAUGGAGAUGAAGGGCGAGAAAGUCACAAAAUUAAAGGAUUCGCAGUUGCUUGAUGACUUGCGUCUUUAGUAAAAUAAUAUAUAUAAUGUAUCACGGGAUUUUAUAUAUCGUUUGCUUCUAUUUGUAUGUUCUUUGAACAGUACUUUAAAAACGAAUAUAGUUUAUUCUUUUCUUUUUUGUGUGUAUAUAAAAGGUUUUUGUUUGUUAUGGUUCGUCAAUUUAUGAAAAAUACAUGAUGUAUACUUGUUAUUAUUAAUCUUCUUUAGUGGAGGCUUGUGGUUGUU
Papaver somniferum (opium poppy) is the source of this 775-nucleotide long non-coding RNA. RefSeq lists it as uncharacterized. NCBI's taxonomy places the organism in Eukaryota, Viridiplantae, Streptophyta, Magnoliopsida, Ranunculales, Papaveraceae. The record is from RefSeq and is a predicted model, not a curated record. The transcript has 2 exons.